RNAcentral lists this small nucleolar RNA (101 nucleotides) under Ricinus communis (castor bean). RNAcentral describes it as "Plant small nucleolar RNA R71". It matches the Rfam family "Plant small nucleolar RNA R71". Rfam says of the family: R71 is a member of the C/D box family of snoRNAs containing the C (UGAUGA) and D (CUGA) box motifs. Multiple nearly identical copies of this snoRNA have been identified in Arabidopsis, and it is thought to function as a 2'-O-ribose methylation guide for 18S ribosomal RNA. Lineage: Eukaryota; Viridiplantae; Streptophyta; Magnoliopsida; Malpighiales; Euphorbiaceae. The record is from Rfam by way of RNAcentral.
AAUCGGUGAUGUGGGCAACAUCUCAAAAGAUCCUUAAAACUCUCCCAUGCAUCAUACAUGCUUUCAAAGGUAGAAAACUGAGAUAAUAUGCUCAUUAGCCU